AUUGAACGCUGGCGGCAGGCCUAACACAUGCAAGUCGAGCGGAUGAAGGGAGCUUGCUCCUGGAUUCAGCGGCGGACGGGUGAGUAAUGCCUAGGAAUCUGCCUGGUAGUGGGGGAUAACGUCCGGAAACGGGCGCUAAUACCGCAUACGUCCUGAGGGAGAAAGUGGGGAAUCUUCGGACCUCACGCUAUCAGAUGAGCCUAGGUCGGAUUAGCUAGUUGGUGGGGUAAAGGCCUACCAAGGCGACGAUCCGUAACUGGUCUGAGAGGAUGAUCAGUCACACUGGAACUGAGACACGGUCCAGACUCCUACGGGAGGCAGCAGUGGGGAAUAUUGGACAAUGGGCGAAAGCCUGAUCCAGCCAUGCCGCGUGUGUGAAGAAGGUCUUCGGAUUGUAAAGCACUUUAAGUUGGGGGGAAGGGCAGUAAGUUAAUACCUUGCUGUUUUGACGUUACCAACAGAAUAAGCACCGGCUAACUUCGUG
RNAcentral lists this ribosomal RNA (484 nucleotides) under uncultured bacterium. Its description in RNAcentral is "partial 16S ribosomal RNA". It matches the Rfam family "Bacterial small subunit ribosomal RNA", at positions 30 to 507 of the family's 1533-position model. The record is from RNAcentral.